UACAGGGGGGGCAAGCGUUGUUCGGAAUUACUGGGCGUAAAGGGCUUGUAGGUGGCCAACUAAGUCCGACGUGAAAUCCCUAGGCUUAACCUAGGAACUGCGUCGGAUACUGGAUGGCUUGAAUCCGGGAGAGGGAUGCGGAAUUCCAGGUGUAGCGGUGAAAUGCGUAGAUAUCUGGAGGAACACCGGUGGCGAAGGCGGCAUCCUGGACCGGCAUUGACGCUGAGGCGCGAAAGCCAGGGGAGCAAACGAG
RNAcentral lists this ribosomal RNA (253 nucleotides) under uncultured bacterium. Its description in RNAcentral is "partial 16S ribosomal RNA". It matches the Rfam family "Bacterial small subunit ribosomal RNA", at positions 524 to 776 of the family's 1533-position model. The record is from RNAcentral.